This is an RNA transcript of Manduca sexta (tobacco hornworm), 1914 nucleotides long. It is a transcript of the gene named TAR DNA-binding protein 43, with no coding region annotated. The transcript has 3 exons. The record is from RefSeq and is a predicted model, not a curated record. NCBI's taxonomy places the organism in Eukaryota, Metazoa, Arthropoda, Insecta, Lepidoptera, Sphingidae.
AUAUAAUAGAAAAAAAAAAAAAAAAACAAUAUGGCUAGUUGCUGAUUAUUGCAAAGGCCAAUCGUAAUUUUGAUUGCACAGCUAAGACUCGGAUUUAUUUAUUAAAACAGCAGGAAUACUUUGUCAUCAUGGUAACUAAAAGCGAAUAUAACGAAGAUCUUUUUGAAUACAUUAAAGUAAGUGAAGAUGAAGAUGACGCCAACUCAGUAGAAAUACCUUGCGAACUUGAUGGAACCCUACUGCUUUCAACUCUGGUUGCUCAGUUUCCGGGAGCCUGUGGAUUGAAAUAUAGACAUCUUGAUAGUAAGUCAAUUCGUGGCAUUCGUUUAAGUGAAGGCAAAUUGCAUCCCCCAAGCGAAGUGGGUUGGGGUAAAAAUCUUUAUGUUUGUGUAUUUCCCAAAGAAAACAAACGUAAAAUGGAAGAUGUGUCUCCUGAAAACUCAGCUGCUAAAACAAAACGUUUAGAAAAAAAACUUACAUGCUCUGAUCUUAUAUGUCUUGGACUGCCUUGGAAAUCAACAGAAGAGUCGAUUAAACAAUACUUUGAACAAUUCGGAGAAGUGGUAAUGGUUCAACUGAAGAAAGACAAAAAUGGAUCUUUUAAAGGGUUUGGUUUCAUACGAUUUGCAACAUACGCAUCCCAGAUGAGAGCUCUGGCACAGAGGCACAACAUAGACGGGCGCUGGGUAGACGUGCGCAUCCCGAAUUCUAAAGAAGGUGUAGUCCCACAGAUGCCUUGCAAAGUGUUUGUUGGAAGAUGUACUGAGGACAUGACUGCUGAUGAUCUGCGAGAAUAUUUCUCUAAGUUUGGGGAAGUGACAGAUGUUUUUGUACCCAGGCCUUUUAGGGCUUUUGGUUUUGUCACAUUUCUGGAUCCUGAAGUGGCUCAGAGUUUGUGCGGUGAAGAUCAUGUUAUUAAAGGUGCUUCAGUGUCAGUUUCAAGCGCUGCACCAAAAAUUAGAAGCAAAACAAAUCAAAACUGGAAAGAUGAGUCAUACAAUUCCAACAAUUGGGAAGGAAACAGGAGCGGUCCAUCUGGAGGAUCAAGCAGUAGUGGAGGAAACAGUAAUAUUGAUUCUCUUAAUAUGCAAAAUUUGGGCAUCAAUCCUAAUGGGGGGCCACCACCUAAUUUUAAUUUACCAAUAAGUCUUGUUGCUGCUGCACUUAAUCAAGCCGGUUGGGGUGGAUUUUUAGGUGGGCAUGGUGGUAACUCAGGUCCGAACAACUGGCAGGGAGGUCCACCACCAGGCAAUGCAGGCAAGAACUGGAAUGGGAAUCAAAAUUGGGGACAAAAUGGUCCACCACCAUCUUGGAAUCAAGGUAACCAAGGCUGGAGUGGAGGCGGAGGAAAAGGAGGCAACUGGAACCAAGGCAAUUGGUCAAAUGGCCAAGGAAACUGGAAUGGUAAUGGCAGUGGUGGUAGUGGCUCCGGCAAUGGGUGGAACAACAACAAACCUCCAUCGUGAGGUGAGCUCACCAUGUAUCCACUUAUAACAGAGGUUUUAUCAUGAAGAGAAGGUAAAAAAAAACUAAGAAGGCAUUGAACUGCAGGAAGAAAUGCUGAGAAGUUAAGUAUGCUUAUAUCACAAUAUUGAUAAUUAUGCAAUGGAUUUCUCAAAAUAUUCUACUUUCUCACACAGGAUCAUUUAGGUGAUAUGCAUUUUUUGGCCUGCUAUGAGGUACCUAUUUGGCUGAGUAAAAUAAUACUGAAUAUAACAGAUGUGUAUCAACAAUCAAAGUAUAACACAAGCCGGCGCGGCGAGCGAAAGCGAUACUUGAAGGACAUCGUGGGGUUUUACUGUACUACUACUAUUUGGUAUGAGAUCGACAGAAUUUGCCUUCAGUUACUAAAAUUGGAUUAAAAAAAUUCAAGACGUUUAUGAUUGGAUUUUAAAUAAAUACUAAAAUAAUUAA